UGUACACGCACGAUCAUGGGGUAGAACGGCCACUGAAGGUAGAAGAGGGUCAGAAGUCUGAACUUGAAGUUGAAGGUCCCGCAGUGGACAAUGUUGGUGGAAUCGGGCGAUUCACCAGGAGUGGUAGACUGUUCUCACCACCCGUUACCCAAACUGAUAGUGCUGAUGCUGCGGCGAAAGCCAAAGGCAAGCAAGUCGUG
This 200-nucleotide long non-coding RNA is filed under the name Lathyrus oleraceus (garden pea). RNAcentral describes it as "Pisum sativum (pea) long non-coding RNA (PSAT_LNC025356)". The record is from RNAcentral. Lineage: Eukaryota; Viridiplantae; Streptophyta; Magnoliopsida; Fabales; Fabaceae.